This 254-nucleotide ribosomal RNA is filed under the name uncultured bacterium. RNAcentral's name for it is "partial 16S ribosomal RNA". It matches the Rfam family "Bacterial small subunit ribosomal RNA", at positions 524 to 776 of the family's 1533-position model. The record is from RNAcentral.
UACGUAGGGACCAAGCGUUGUUCGGAUUUACUGGGCGUAAAGGGCGCGUAGGCGGCGUGACAAGUCACUUGUGAAAUCUCUGGGCUUAACCCAGAACGGCCAAGUGAUACUGUCGUGCUAGAGUGCGGAAGGGGCAAUCGGAAUUCUCGGUGUAGCGGUGAAAUGCGUAGAUAUCGAGAGGAACACCUGAGGUGAAGACGGGUUGCUGGGCCGACACUGACGCUGAGUGCGCGAAAGCGUGGGGAGCAAACAGG